AUGAGGCACGUUAUUAGCAAUGUUUCACAUUUUCUUACUUGCAAUACUAUGCUUGGCUGUUCAGGUCUUCCAAGACCUAAAUCAUCAGAAAUCCAGCACAUAAAACACCUUUUUUUAAACUUUAGUUACCCUGAUAUAAGCCUUCGUCCAAUUUUCUUAUACGGAGGGGUUAGAAAUAGUUACCUUGCUUGCUCAAAACUAAAUCUACUGAUAAAUGGAUUUUUUUUAAAACCACACAUGGUGUUUAGUGGAUCUCAUGGAUGGAUUGGGUUGUGGCAGCAGUUCUUGGGUGCAAUAUCUAUCUUGAUAAAGCGAUCAAUCAGGGCACAUUGGAGGCAGAAGAAGAGAAAACGUUUGGGGCAUCUGUGGUGUUGA
RNAcentral lists this ribosomal RNA (375 nucleotides) under Triticum aestivum (bread wheat). Its description in RNAcentral is "partial small subunit ribosomal RNA". The record is from RNAcentral. Lineage: Eukaryota; Viridiplantae; Streptophyta; Magnoliopsida; Poales; Poaceae.